RNAcentral lists this ribosomal RNA (366 nucleotides) under uncultured bacterium. RNAcentral describes it as "bacterial SSU rRNA". It matches the Rfam family "Bacterial small subunit ribosomal RNA", at positions 30 to 399 of the family's 1533-position model. The record is from RNAcentral.
AUUGAACGCUGGCGGCAUGCCUUACACAUGCAAGUCGAACGGCAGCACGGGAGCAAUCCUGGUGGCGAGUGGCGAACGGGUGAGUAAUAUAUCGGAACGUGCCCAGUCGUGGGGAUAACGUAGCGAAGCUACGCUAAUACCGCAUACGAUCUAUGGAUGAAAGCGGGGAUCGCAAGACCUCGCGCGAUUGGAGCGGCCGAUAUCAGAUUAGGUAGUUGGUGAGGUAAGGACUCACCAAGCCGACGAUCUGUAGCUGGUCUGAGAGGACGACCAGCCACACUGGGACUGAGACACGGCCCAGACUCCUACGGAGGCAGCAGUGGGGAAUUUUGGACAAUGGGCGCGAAGCCUGAUCCAGCAAUGCCG